Molecule: long non-coding RNA, 2807 nt
Organism: Xiphophorus couchianus (Monterrey platyfish)
Lineage: Eukaryota; Metazoa; Chordata; Actinopteri; Cyprinodontiformes; Poeciliidae
Exons: 4
Source: RefSeq, a predicted model, not a curated record
UCCAUUUGAACUAAAACUCCAGUAUUGAUAACCUCUUUCCUGCUCUUUAAUUUCUGGGUCAAAAGUCAUGGCUGCAGUACCUCAGCUGACAUGUCAGAUUGACAGUAGGUGUAGUGGCACUGGAUGGUAUACAGCAUGGGGAUGUCUGAUGCCAUGUCGUUGUUCUGUCUGUAAUCAAGGAGUAUGUGUGUUCAGGAGGUCAUUUAACUCAUUGUAACAAAGAAGGUGGUCCUUAAGAUAAUUUGGACUAUCCCAGACCACCAAGGCCUCUGACUUGUUUUACUAUUCAUUACAAAGGGGGAAGGACUAAUUGGACAUAAUGGAGUUAAGUUUUUUUUCUUCAUUUACCUGCAAUUAAUGUCAGUGUAAUUAAGGAUUUGUGAUGUGACCAUGUUGGAUUGUGAGGAAUUAGAUGGUGUUGACAAUAGUAUCAACUCACAAAGCGCUUCCUGUCCAUCCCUGCUCUUGCUCAGACUGAUGUUAUUUUUCUCAUUUUCCUUUUCGCCUCAUAUGCUAGUUUCAGUAAUAUUUUCCUUCUUUUUCUUUAGUUUCAUAGAUUCAUGUUAAUCCCCUCCAUAUUUCAAAGCUUUCAAAAAAAGUGGAAGCAUUCUUCCACUUUUUUUCCUCCUUUGAUUAUACUUAUGAAUUAAAAUAUUUUUUUGGAAGGGAAAUUAGCAUACUUGAAGUUUAAAGUCAAAGGUCUGUUGUACCUGACUUUAAAGUGUUGAAUGUUCUGAGUCCAAAACAACGUUGCAUGUUUUACUUUAAGGUGAAUGCCAAAUUAUCGUCAGUAACUAAUAAUUAAUAUGUUAUAAAGUCAGUUUUUAUAGUGUGAAAGUCCAAUUCCUAAACAUAACUGAAUAAUUUAAUUCUGAUUUUUAUUAUUAAAUUGAAUUAGAUUAAUACUUAUAAGCAUAACAAAUACAGAAUAAAUUAUACAUAUGCUGACCUUUUCUUGCAGUAGCAUAAUCACACAGUAAAAAGUCAACUUUUAAUUUUAGUGUAUUUAUUCACUAGGGAAACAAUCACAGAUAUAUUUUUACAUUACCCAAGCAUCAGUAGUCCUCCUGUAAGGUUUUGUACACCUCUCUCUUGCCUUUAGGGUAGCUCUUAGUCAUCGGCUAUAACAUUUCAUAAAGUUGGAGCAAAUACCGAAAGGUUUUGCCCAUUCCUUUUUUGUUCAGUGUCUUUGUGUCAUUUAGUGGGCCUGCCUUAUGUACUCCUCUCUUCAGGUUAUCCUGAAGGUCUUCGAAAGGAUUUAGGUCUGGGGAGUCAGAAUGCCAUGAAAAAGAGCAAAGCCAGGGAGGAGACAUGACACCAGAGGCCAGCAGCAGGGAUGAUGAUGCAUCGUCUUAUCAGGUCUGGUCGAUCCAUGCUGGGUGUGGCCGGUGAAUCUGAACUCAGCUUUUUGAUCAGCGUCUGAUGAUCUGGACACUGUAAAUCUAUAAAGACAAACAGAAGAAUUCUGGAAGUGGGUAAAUGUCAUUUUACUGUGCAUCCAUGGAUACAUUAGAGCUGAUUAUGGGCCGCAACUUUGAUAUAUGUGAAUUGUGAAAUCCCUUCAUGUCAGGGGGACUAAAUACAAACAUACUGAACAGAUAAUGAUGGUCUUUUUGAUGUGCACCUCCAUGACUCAUAUGAGCUUAAAGUUUACUCCACUUUUUGGCAUUUUGAGUGCUUGAAUUAUGUGACCAUGCAAUACAUCUCGGACUCAACAUAAUGUCUUUUAAUUUCUUCUCUGGAACCAGAUAAAUGACAACAUUAACUGAAAAAGAGUGGGUGGACGGCCACGGUUUGAACUAUCCAAUUUUCCAGUCCCACAGUGGUAUUGUGGAUCUGGGACAAUGACACCCAGAUCCACAGCGUCCCUGCCAACACAAACCCUACUUCUGAACAGAGCCACCUCCCUCCCCACAAUCCUUUGCUCUGAGUAGGGCAAGGAGAGGAGGUGGGGGACCAAAGGGAGGCCGACGAAAGUCUGAACAGGCCAGAGGAGCGACACACCGGCGCCAUGGCGAUCCCUAAGACAACUUAUCUCCUCUCUCUCAGUGAUAGCGCCUGUCAAAAUAACAGCCAAGAUACACACCCAGCAAGGAACUGGUUAACUUGUAGGCCGUCCAGCUAGAAUGCCGGGGUCUUUGUCUUUCCUACACGGCUCACUUGGGCUUGAUAAUGUCACUGCUGUCUUGGCACCCAAUUAUAUUUAACAGUAAUACAUAAAGGUACAGAUGACCCUCAGCAUCACUAUCUUCUCUUAUUAAGAAAAAAAGAAUUUUAUUGUAUUUCUGUUAUGAAGAGGUGGGACAUUUGUAUGUAAUAUAUGAAAUGAAAAUAUAUUAAUGGCUAGAUUAUGCUUUAAAGCAUAGCAUCUGACUGGUGGUUGUACAUUCAAGUCUUCUAGUAAUUAUAGCUCUCAGAUUUGCUCAAGAAGCUUCUCAGUGAUAAUAGCCAGAUAUGUUCACAUCAUACAACACUGGGGCAAGAAUGCAAAUGGGAAAAAAAGAAAGAUAAACAAAACAAGCCUAACAAAUAAAAAAUUCUGAGUUGUGAAAAUGAGUCUUUGUUUUCAUCAGUUGCAUAACUGCAGAGUGGAUUAACUGGAUAACUGGAUUUGAACACGAUAGAUCUUUUGGCGCCCUCUUGUGGUUGUUCCGCUCCUGUUUUAAAUGUCAUCAGAAAGUGCCACAAUUUAAUUUAUUAUAAAGUUAUUUUUAAAUAUAUAUAUGUGUGUUACCAUUUAUUUAAGUAAAGAUAGAAAUGCUAUUUAUUUAACAAACACAUCGAAUAUGACUACAUCAAUAAAAAAA